This 262-nucleotide ribosomal RNA is filed under the name Funneliformis mosseae. Lineage: Eukaryota; Fungi; Glomeromycota; Glomeromycetes; Glomerales; Glomeraceae. The record is from RNAcentral.
CAGUCAUACCAACGGGAAAUCAACCUUUUGAGCUCGGUCUCGUGGGUUUUGAAGAGUUUCAAAGCCUUCGGAUUCGCGGGAUUGGGAUCUCUUGGUGUACUUCUUCGUACGGUUAGUCAACAUCGGUUUUGAAUGUCAUAAAAUGACUGGAGGAAUGUAGCUUUGAUCUCGUAUUGAAGUGUUAUAGACUCUGGUAGAUGUGACGGUUGGGAUUGAGGUAUUGCAACGGNUACCCGUUCGGGGGCUACCCGUCUGAUCUCUG